RNAcentral lists this transfer RNA (83 nucleotides) under Araneus ventricosus. Its description in RNAcentral is "tRNA-Ser". The record is from RNAcentral. Lineage: Eukaryota; Metazoa; Arthropoda; Arachnida; Araneae; Araneidae.
CGACGAGGAUGGGAUUCGAACCCACGGGGCAGAGAGCCCAAUGGAUUAGCAGUCCAUCGCCUUAAAUACUCGGCCAUGUCGUC